This 253-nucleotide ribosomal RNA is filed under the name uncultured bacterium. RNAcentral describes it as "partial 16S ribosomal RNA". It matches the Rfam family "Bacterial small subunit ribosomal RNA", at positions 524 to 776 of the family's 1533-position model. The record is from RNAcentral.
UACAGGGGGUGCAAACGUUGCUCGGAAUUAUUGGGCGUAAAGCGCGUGUAGGCGGUCCGGUAAGUCCGCUGUGAAAGUCGGGGGCUCAACCCUCGAAUGCCGGUGGAUACUGUCGGGCUAGAGUGCGGAAGAGGCGAGUGGAAUUCCUGGUGUAGCGGUGAAAUGCGCAGAUAUCAGGAGGAACACCAAUUGCGAAGGCAGCUCGCUGGGACGUGACUGACGCUGAGACGCGAAAGCGUGGGGAGCAAACAGG